Molecule: ribosomal RNA, 433 nt
Filed under: uncultured bacterium
Lineage: Bacteria
Description: bacterial SSU rRNA
Rfam family: Bacterial small subunit ribosomal RNA
Source: RNAcentral
AACGAACGCUGGCGGCAUGCCUAACACAUGCAAGUCGAACGAACCCUUCGGGGUUAGUGGCGCACGGGUGCGUAACGCGUGGGAAUCUGCCCUUUGCUUCGGAAUAACUCAGGGAAACUUGUGCUAAUACCGGAUGAUGUCUUCGGACCAAAGAUUUAUCGGCAAGGGAUGAGCCCGCGUAGGAUUAGGUAGUUGGUGGGGUAAAGGCCUACCAAGCCGACGAUCCUUAGCUGGUCUGAGAGGAUGAUCAGCCACACUGGGACUGAGACACGGCCCAGACUCCUACGGGAGGCAGCAGUGGGGAAUAUUGGACAAUGGGCGAAAGCCUGAUCCAGCAAUGCCGCGUGAGUGAUGAAGGCCCUCGGGUCGUAAAGCUCUUUUACCAGGGAUGAUAAUGACAGUACCUGGAGAAUAAGCUCCGGCUAACUCCGUG